AGUUGGGGACUCAUGCGAUACUGCCUACGAUGAGUAGGAGGAAGGUGGGGAUGACGUCAAGUCAUCAUGCCCCUUAUACGCUGGGCUACACACGUGCUACAAUGGGUAGAACAGAGAUUGCAAAGCUGUGAAGUGGAGCUAAUCUCAGAAAACUAUUCUUAGUUCGGAUUGUACUCUGCAACUCGAGUACAUGAAGUUGGAAUCGCUAGUAAUCGCGAAUCAGCAAUGUCGCGGUGAAUACGUUCUCGGGUCUUGUACACACCGCCCGUCACACCACGAGAGUUGGUUGCACCUGAAGUAGCAGGCCUAACCGUAAGGAGGGAUGCUCCGAGGGUGUGAUUAGCGAUUGGGGUGAAGUCGUAACAAGGUAUCCGUACGGGAACGUGCGGAUGGAUCACCUCCUUUCUAAGGAAAAAAAGUCUUUCUCUAUUCUAUUGGUAAUGUUCUUUACAUUACUUCUGAACAUUGGAAACUAUAUAGUAGAACAAAAAUAACUCUAACAAUUUCUUAGAGUUAGCUGUCAAAAAAUAGAUUAAAAUAAUUAAGGGCACACAAAGGAUGCCUAGGUAGUAAGAGCCGAUGAAGGACGUGGUAAGCUGCGAUAAGCCUAGAUAAGUUGCAAUCGAACGUAAGAGUCUAGGAUUUCCGAAUGGAGCAAUCUAUUAAGAUGGAGUCUUAAUACGAAAGGGGGAACCGCGUGAACUGAAACAUCUAAGUAACGCGAGGAAAAGAAAGUAAAAACGAUACCCAAAGUAGCGGCGAGCGAACUGGGUCAAGCCUAAACCUUAAAUAUGUCAAGGAUACAGCCGUUGUAUUUAAGGGGUUGUGGGACAAAGUGUUGAAGAACUGUAAGAUAUUCAAUAUAGUGUAUUGAUGAAUUAGAAUUGUCUGGAAAGAUAAACCGUAGAAGGUGAAAGUCCUGUAUAAGUAAAUCCUUACACAUAUAACUUUGCUCCCAAGUAACAUGGAACACGAGGAAUUCUGUGUGAAUCUGUGAGGACCAUAUCUCAUAAGG
The sequence is a small RNA, 1015 nucleotides long. The stretch from base 1 to 405 matches the Rfam family "Bacterial small subunit ribosomal RNA", at positions 1129 to 1533 of the family's 1533-position model.